AUUGAACGCUGGCGGCAUGCCUUACACAUGCAAGUCGAACGGCAGCGCGGGGGCAACCCUGGCGGCGAGUGGCGAACGGGUGAGUAAUAUAUCGGAACGUACCCAAGAGUGGGGGAUAACGUAGCGAAAGUUACGCUAAUACCGCAUACGAUCUAAGGAUGAAAGUGGGGGACCGCAAGGCCUCACGCUCCUGGAGCGGCCGAUAUCUGAUUAGCUAGUUGGUGGGGUAAAGGCCUACCAAGGCAUCGAUCAGUAGCUGGCCUGAGAGGACGACCAGCCACACUGGGACUGAGACACGGCCCAGACUCCUACGGGAGGCAGCAGUGGGGAAUUUUGGACAAUGGGGGGCAACCCUGAUCCAGCAAUGCCGCGUGAGUGAAGAAGGCCUCGGUUGUAAGACGU
This 402-nucleotide ribosomal RNA is filed under the name uncultured bacterium. RNAcentral describes it as "bacterial SSU rRNA". It matches the Rfam family "Bacterial small subunit ribosomal RNA", at positions 29 to 433 of the family's 1533-position model. The record is from RNAcentral.